RNAcentral lists this long non-coding RNA (409 nucleotides) under Callithrix jacchus (white-tufted-ear marmoset). RNAcentral's name for it is "lncRNA (ENSCJAG00000075321.1)". Lineage: Eukaryota; Metazoa; Chordata; Mammalia; Primates; Cebidae. The record is from RNAcentral.
GGAGCGGGCGGAACUUGAGAAAAUCAAACUACCAGAGUGCAGUUGAGGGGUAGCGGGCUGCGCUCGGGAAACGACUCCCCUUUUCUCCUCCACCUGUGACCUUUAGGUUCCUGGAAAACUUUGGUGUUGGGGGUGUGAAAUGUGGGGGUGCACGUGGAGGGAAAAAGAGACUCCCCUCCCCCUUGGCUUCUCUCCCACCAACCCGGGAAUGGAGGGGGAGGGAGGCGUGGGCUUGGCGCGUUUUUGGUGCUUUGAAUGGAGAACUCCGUUUCCCAUGAUGCUUUGUUUCUUUCUCUUUAAUUUCGGUGGCGGCUGCGGCAGCACGAGGACGGGAGCGCGUGGUGUGAGCAGCUGGAGCACACCCUGGACGCGCGGGCCGCUCCCGGACUUCAACGGGAGCAUUAGGUAA